AGUGGGAUAGCUGGGUCAAAUGGUUUCAUUCCCAGUUUUCCAAGGAAUCUCCAUAUUGUUUUCCAGAUUGGUUGCACCAAUUUGCAGUCCCACCAGCAUU
This 100-nucleotide microRNA precursor is filed under the name Marmota monax (woodchuck). Lineage: Eukaryota; Metazoa; Chordata; Mammalia; Rodentia; Sciuridae. The record is from RNAcentral.